GGAAUAUUGGACAAUGGGCGCAAGCCUGAUCCAGCCAUGCCGCGUGAGUGAUGAAGGCCUUAGGGUUGUAAAGCUCUUUCAGUAGGGAAGAUAAUGACGGUACCUACAGAAGAAGCCCCGGCUAACUUCGUGCCAGCAGCCGCGGGAAUACGAAGGGGGCUAGCGUUGUUCGGAUUGACGGGGCGUAAGGCGAACGUAGGCGGAUUGGUCAGUUAGGGGUGAAAACCCGGAGCUCAACUCCGGAACUGCCUUUAAUACUGCCAGUCUAGAGUCCGGAAGAGGUGAGUGGAACUCCUAGUGUAGAGGUGGAAUUCGUAGAUAUUAGGAAGAACACCAGUGGCGAAGGCGGCUCACUGGUCCGGUACUGACGCUGAGGUGCGAAAGCGUGGGGAGCAAAC
This 398-nucleotide ribosomal RNA is filed under the name uncultured bacterium. RNAcentral describes it as "bacterial SSU rRNA". It matches the Rfam family "Bacterial small subunit ribosomal RNA", at positions 358 to 773 of the family's 1533-position model. The record is from RNAcentral.